Oncorhynchus tshawytscha (Chinook salmon) is the source of this 1489-nucleotide long non-coding RNA. Lineage: Eukaryota; Metazoa; Chordata; Actinopteri; Salmoniformes; Salmonidae. The record is from Ensembl.
CCUGCCCAGGAGCCCUUCCACCCGGAGGAGUGGACCCGCCACACCCUCUACAUCUGGACCGAGCCACACAACAGCAGGCUAUGUGUCUGCUGAGGAAUGAAUAGGGACCAAUGGGAGGUUCUGAUCAGCAGCCUGGGGCUCCACUGCCUAGGAGCUCUGGGAUUAGGGCUAAAUCCUGCCCUGCCAGAUGGGCACCAGCACCACAUCAAUCCCACCCACCACCACCAACCUUAGACCUCAGGGCCAGGCCUUGCUCCCCCUGGCCUGCACUGGGCUCUGUGGACCGGACAAUAGGGAGAUGGAACCCCUUCGGGAGCUCAGAAGCUAAAUGUGGAUUUCUCCCUAAAUACUAUCCCCUGCUGGUCAGCCAUGUUCUCCUCCAGGAGCUGUGAACAGUGAAUCAGCGGCACCCAGAAAACAGGAAGUCCCCAGUCCAGAGCUUCCGGCGACGGUCCCCAGUGCAGAGCUUCCGGCGACGGUCCCCAGUCCAGAGCUUCCGGCGACGGUCCCCAGUCCAGAGCUUCCGGCGACGGUCCCCAGUCCAGAGCUUCCGGCGACGGUCCCCAGUCCAGAGCUUCCGGCGACGGUCCCCAGUCCAGAGCUUCCGGCGACGGUCCCCAGUCCAGAGCUUCCGGCGACGGUCCCCAGUCCAGAGCUUCCGGCGACGGUCCCCAGUCCAGAGCUUCCGGCGACGGUCCCCAGUCCAGAGCUUCCGGCGACGGUCCCCAGUCCCGGAACCUCCGGCGACGGUCCCCAGUCCCGGAACCUCCAGCUCCAUGGCCGGAGCCUUCCCCUGCGUCGAUGUCGGAGUCUUCCUCUGCACAGGUGCCCAGUCCAGGCACGGCAUCCAGUCCAGCUACAUGGCCUGAGCCUUCCCCUGCGCCGAUGCCCAGUCCGAGCACAGCGUCCAGUCCAACUCCAUGGCAGGAGCCCUUCUCUGCCCCGAUGCCCAGUCUAGACACGGUGUCUAGUCCCGUUCCAUGGCAAGUCUUCUUCUGAGUCUUCUUCUGCACCUAGGUCCAGGCACAGUGUUCAGCCUGGGUCCAUGGCUGGAUCUGCGGGAUGAGUGGGUUCUUCGUCCCGCACCAGAGCCGCCCCCGAUGCUGGCGGAACCGUGGGAUGAGCGGGUACUUCGCCCCGCACCAGAGCCGGCACUAGACACCCCCCAUACUGUCAGGUCCUCACCAUAGAGAGCCUUUAUUUUCUAUGGUAGAGUAGGUCAGGGCGUGACUGGGUGAUUAGUCUAGUUUAUAUUCUCUAUGUGGGGUUCUAGGUUGUUUUUUCUAUGUUGGGGUUUUGGUAUGAUUCCCAAUUAGAGGCAGCUGGCUAUAAUUGGGGAUCAUACUUAAGUAGCAUUUUUUCCACCUGUGGGUUAUGGGAUAUUGUUUUUGUUUGGACUUAGUGCACAUAGCACCUCAGUAGUCACGGUUUGUUCAUUUAUUGUUUUGUUAAGUUUCACUAAUAAUAAAGUAUGUGGAACUCAAAUCGC